AAUCAACGCUGGCGGCGUGCCUAACACAUGCAAGUCGAACGCGAAAGUGGAGCAAUCCAUGAGUAGAGUGGCAAACGGGUGAGUAACGCGUGGGCGACCUACCUCUGAGUGGGGGAUAACCUUCCGAAAGGAGGGCUAAUACCGCAUGACAUCCCGUGUUUGGAUACACGGACAUCAAAGCCGGGGAUCGCAAGACCUGGCGCUUGGAGAGGGGCCCGCGUCCGAUUAGCUAGUUGGCGAGGUAAUGGCUCACCAAGGCUCCGAUCGGUAUCCGGCCUGAGAGGGCAGACGGACACACUGGAACUGAGACACGGUCCAGACUCCUACGGGAGGCAGCAGUGGGGAAUUGUUCGCAAUGGGCGCAAGCCUGACGACGCAACGCCGCGUGGAGGAUGAAGACUUUCGGGUCGUAAACUCCUUUCGACCGAGAUGAAUUUCCGCCGGCCUAAUAUGCCGGCGGGGUGACAGUAUCGAGGGAAGAAGCCCCGGCUAACUCCGUGC
Molecule: ribosomal RNA, 501 nt
Filed under: uncultured bacterium
Lineage: Bacteria
Description: bacterial SSU rRNA
Rfam family: Bacterial small subunit ribosomal RNA
Source: RNAcentral